UGGGGAAUAUUGCACAAUGGGCGGAAGCCUGAUGCAGCGACGCCGCGUGCGGGAUGAAGGCCUUCGGGUUGUAAACCGCUUUCACCACAGACGAAGCGCAAGUGACGGUAUGUGGGGAAGAAGCGCCGGCUAACUACGUGCCAGCAGCCGCGGUAAUACGUAGGGCGCGAGCGUUGUCCGGAUUUAUUGGGCGUAAAGAGCUCGUAGGCGGCCUGUUGCGUCUGCUGUGAAAUCCCGGGGCUUAACCCCGGGCGUGCAGUGGAUACGGGCAGGCUGGAGGCAGGCAGGGGAGAACGGAAUUCCCGGUGUAGCGGUGAAAUGCGCAGAUAUCGGGAGGAAUACCGAUGGCGAAGGCAGCCCCCUGGGCCAAUACUGACGCUCAUGCACGAAAGCGUGGGGAGCAAACAGGAUUAGAUACCCGGGUAGUCC
RNAcentral lists this ribosomal RNA (429 nucleotides) under uncultured bacterium. Its description in RNAcentral is "bacterial SSU rRNA". It matches the Rfam family "Bacterial small subunit ribosomal RNA", at positions 355 to 796 of the family's 1533-position model. The record is from RNAcentral.